UACGUAGGGUGCGAGCGUUAAUCGGAAUUACUGGGCGUAAAGCGUGCGCAGGCGGUUCGUUGUGUCGGCGGUGAAAGCCCCGGGCUUAACCUGGGAAUUGCGAUGGAGACUGCAAGGCUGGAGUCUGGCAGAGGGGGGGUAGAAUUCCACGUGUAGCAGUGAAAUGCGUAGAGAUCCGGAAGAACACCGGUGGCGAAGGCGGCCUGCUGGGCAGUAGCUGACGCUGAGGCGCGACAGCGUGGGGAGCAAACAGG
This 254-nucleotide ribosomal RNA is filed under the name uncultured bacterium. Its description in RNAcentral is "partial 16S ribosomal RNA". It matches the Rfam family "Bacterial small subunit ribosomal RNA", at positions 524 to 776 of the family's 1533-position model. The record is from RNAcentral.